This 515-nucleotide ribosomal RNA is filed under the name uncultured bacterium. RNAcentral's name for it is "partial 16S ribosomal RNA". It matches the Rfam family "Bacterial small subunit ribosomal RNA", at positions 28 to 523 of the family's 1533-position model. The record is from RNAcentral.
GAUGAACGCUGGCGGCGUGCCUAAUACAUGCAAAUCGAGCGAAUGGAUUGAGAGCUUGCUCUUAUGAAGUUAGCGGCGGACGGGUGAGUAACACGUGGGUAACCUGCCCAUAAGACUGGGAUAACUCCGGGAAACCGGGGCUAAUACCGGAUAACAUUUUGAACCGCAUGGUUCGAAAUUGAAAGGCGGCUUCGGCUGUCACUUAUGGAUGGAACCGCGUCGCAUUAGCUAGUUGGUGAGGUAACGGCUCACCAAGGCAACGAUGCGUAGCCGACCUGAGAGGGUGAUCGGCCACACUGGGACUGAGACACGGCCCAGACUCCUACGGGAGGCAGAAGUAGGGAAUCUUCCGCAAUGGACGAAAGUCUGACGGAGCAACGCCGCGUGAGUGAUGAAGGCUUUCGGGUCGUAAAACUCUGUUGUUAGGGAAGAACAAGUGCUAGUUGAAUAAGCUGGCACCUUGACGGUACCUAACCAGAAAGCCACGGCUAACUACGUGCCAGCAGCCGCCGUAA